This is a long non-coding RNA of Pseudophryne corroboree (corroboree frog), 1020 nucleotides long. RefSeq lists it as uncharacterized. The record is from RefSeq and is a predicted model, not a curated record. NCBI's taxonomy places the organism in Eukaryota, Metazoa, Chordata, Amphibia, Anura, Myobatrachidae. The transcript is spliced from 3 exons.
AUUUUUUUGUGAGAGAAGCCUCAAGCUUGAACUGUGAUCUGUGCUGCCGCGGCACAGCUCCGUGCAGCCCUUUCAUUUCCCAAGCAGUGCAGGGGACACUCACUGCACUACUCAUCGGCAGGAACUCCCGUCUUCCUCGGCUCCAGUCCACAGCUGCCAGUGCCUCCCAUAAUUACACUUACACAGUGGACGAUGAGGGUGCAGCUACAGGAGCUCGGAGUUGUUGCACUGCUGUUCGGGAUCUUUCUGUACUCCUACGCAACUAUGGAGCCUUGAGCUGUGCCACUGGUUCUGUAUGUGAGGAGAGUAAAGGGAUUGUGCAUGCUGCUGAUGGAUACACGUGAUGAUUUUUAAAAGAAGAAGUGGUGGUGGACAUUAACUUUUGCCACUAAGGGACGUUACAAUUCAAACAGUUUUUUUGUCAUCUGUUAUUUUACCUGUGGGAAGGUUUCUAUUUGUUCUUGACUGUCCCAAAAAAAGGGGGUAACUUCAUAACAAUGUGGGCAUGAAGUGACCUGGGCAUUCUGUUGUAUCGGCAUAUGGUUAUGUCAUAGAGUAACAGGUCAUGUGAGAGGAUUAUUAGUGACCUGAUCUCUCUUUUUAUAAUAUUGGGAGGCGUGCCUAUACUGUAUGCAUGAGAGAUUAUAUCCUGUUGUGUUCAUAAUAUGUUACAAUUAGUACGACAGCUUUCACACAUGCCAAUAGCAACAACUAUGUAACACUGACAUCAUCUCUAUAAUUAAGUCAUUAACAUACCUCCCAACAUGACUUUCCUCUUAAGAGGGGUACACACAGAGACUGACUAGAUUGCUUAGAAGUUAAGCAUGGAUCUCUCCGUGUGUAUGCCCCACAGCGAAAGCGAUGCGCGGCCCCGCGCGUCUCUAUCGCCAGUGCUAGAUUGGCCUGCAUGCAGGCACAAUCUAUCUAGCACAUCGCUCAUUUCACCGCUGGGUGAAAUGAGCGGUCCCCCCGUCCGCCCCCCUCGCUCAGCACACAUCACGUUGUGUGCUGAUCCCCCCG